RNAcentral lists this ribosomal RNA (565 nucleotides) under uncultured bacterium. RNAcentral describes it as "bacterial SSU rRNA". It matches the Rfam family "Bacterial small subunit ribosomal RNA", at positions 338 to 916 of the family's 1533-position model. The record is from RNAcentral.
CCUACGGGAGGCAGCAGUGGGGAAUUUUCCGCAAUGGGCGAAAGCCUGACGGAGCAAUACCGCGUGAGGGAAGACGGCCUAUGGGUUGUAAACCUCUUUUCUCAGGGAGGAACUCAAUGACGUUACCUGAGGAAUAAGCAUCGGCUAACUCCGUGCCAGCAGCCGCGGUAAGACGGAGGAUGCAAGUGUUAUCCGGAAUCACUGGGCGUAAAGCGUCUGUAGGUGGCUUAACAAGUCAACUGUUAAAUCUUGAAGCUCAACUUCGAAAUCGCAGUCGAAACUGUUAGGCUAGAGUAUAGUAGGGGUAAAGGGAAUUUCCAGUGGAGCGGUGAAAUGCGUAGAGAUUGGAAAGAACACCGAUGGCGAAGGCACUUUACUGGGCUAUUACUGACACUCAGAGACGAAAGCUAGGGUAGCAAAUGGGAUUAGAUACCCCAGUAGUCCUAGCCGUAAACAAUGGAUACUAGAUGUUGGGCAGAUCGACCUGUUCAGUAUUAAAGCUAACGCGUUAAGUAUCCCGCCUGGGAAGUAUGCGCGCAAGCGUGAAACUCAAAGGAAUUGACGG